Molecule: long non-coding RNA, 361 nt
Filed under: Marmota monax (woodchuck)
Lineage: Eukaryota; Metazoa; Chordata; Mammalia; Rodentia; Sciuridae
Source: RNAcentral
GUGAAAAAAAUUCUUUUUUAAAAACAAAUCUAGCUUUUUAAAUAGAAAACAAAAAGGUGAAUUACUAUUGUUUAUCUUCUAAUGUAUCCCUCAGUACUUCUAACCAGGUCGUUUAUUAUGGUGGCAAAUCUGGAUUGUUUAUAUGUCCCUUUUUCAUCCUGAUUUGUCCUCUUUUUUAUCUUAUACUUUCAUUGCCCCUUUUUCCAAUAACUAGAAAAUCCUGGAGAGGAAAUGUUCCAUUUCCCUUGUUUGUAGCCCUCUUUCAUGGAUAUUAUUGAUUGACAGGAACUUUUGUAGAAGAGACUUGCACUAGGAGAGUACAAACUAAACUUGGAGUUGAUUCUGUGGCUAAUUAACUUUU